Xenopus laevis (African clawed frog) is the source of this 3158-nucleotide long non-coding RNA. RefSeq lists it as uncharacterized. The transcript is spliced from 2 exons. NCBI's taxonomy places the organism in Eukaryota, Metazoa, Chordata, Amphibia, Anura, Pipidae. The record is from RefSeq and is a predicted model, not a curated record.
UGGUAUAUCAGCCAUGCCUGCGAAAAACACUUCCUGCUUCCGAUAUGCUCUUUGCGUUCCAAGCCUCGUUUCAAUAAUUGCAUCUUGAAUUGGAGACGUAGUAGAGGAGGUCGGCUCUUCUCCGCUUUGCUCUUCGGCUGUUCUCGAUUGGGGGAAACAGGAGAUAAGGAUCCCGCAGCUGCUGAAUGCACUAAAAGUGUGACUCCUGCUCAGGACUUCAUCCCAUUAAUGCCUCUAUCAAUCCUUUGUUUUUAAGAUAGCUGGCUAAGGAAGUAUAUGGUCUGGACUAUGGACCCUGCCACCCAGGGGUCGUGUACGUAUUCCAGAGUCCCGUCAGCCAUAGAGACCCCUCCAGUGCACUUUCCCACACCAGGGAGGCCUGCAGGCAGUAGCUUUCAUUUCCUUUGACGACACCAAUUCCCACUCCCCAGAGAUCAAGACCUAGCAGUCCCCCAAAGCAGUCAUUCUCCAAAGGCUGAGGGUUAAAUGUAUUACCGCCAGCCCCCAAUCAUGCCUCUGCUGACCCUCAUCUCUAUUUAUACUCUUUAGGAAGCAUUCUCUCUUUCAACUGCCUCUCUGGUUCUGUACCCUGCCCAGCUCCUUCUGGGCACAGACUUCCACUACUAUUCAUGCUAGUCAAGCAGACUAGCAAGCCCCCUUGAAGGCCCAGUAGUGACUUUCUAUGACAGCCUGUUUGUCAUUUGCCAAAAUCUUUAGAUUGCCAGACUGGGCCUUUAUUGAAGUCCUAUCAGCACUCAGCAGCAUCAUGUAUGGAUAUCCAUGUGUAUCCUGAUGGGCCAGAGACUGCCCUCACCACCUGUAUCCUUCCUGCAUGAUGUCACUUAUGCUCUUGCCAUCCGUAUCCAUUCACAAAUGUCACAAGCCAAAGAUGGCAUAGGCUGAAAACCAUGGAUUAUGUGCCCUACACAGUCCUUCUGUCCUUCGAACUUUGGUACUUCAGCAGGAAACAAACUGUAGAACAGGUCUUCUGCAACUUGGGUUUUAUGUUUUGGCUUCCAUAACGUGGAAAUUCCUCUAGCUUUUGCAGUCUUUUAAGCAGAUCAUUGCCAUUAAUUUAACCUGUGAUUCUUGACUUUCAUGCUUGGCGCCUUCCGGUUUGAUAAGUUGAGGGGUUGGCUUUUGCAGCUAUUUUCUUCAUUUAAUUAAUUUGUCCUAGACAUCCUGUAUUCAUGGUUUUCUUGUUUCAUCUUCCAUUUUCAAGGGCUAUAGGUUAUACCUACCUCCCUAUAUAAUGGCUGUGAUACUGGCCUUGCUAGGUGAUGUUUUUAGCAUCUGUUUGUUUAAUUGUCAAAAAGAGCUUACCAUUAAGGUGCUCUAUCUAUGUUUAACAUUGAUUUUUACAUCUUUUUAUGUUAUUUUAUUCCCCCUGCUUUUGUUUUUUUUCAUGUUUUGACAGAUCCUGUGUGUACUGACAUGGAAGGAACACAGACAAAAACAAGAAGUUCAUUUGCCUCAUAUCAUACAUUCCUUUCCUUCUAGUCCCGACAGUUUUCCCAUCACAAGUUAUUAAUAUUAAUUUCUGUACUGCUAUGGCAAAUGUAUAACAGUGGUAAAAAGGAAGUCAGGUAAUCAUGGCUAAUUCUGAUUGGCUGCUUUACAGGUCCUAUCUCCUUGUCUGGAAGGGGCAAUAAACAUAUGUGUGCAGUCAUGUCGGGAAUAGUGCAGUUAUGAGAUGAGAAUGCUGAAAUUCUCAUCUUUAUGCUUAAAGGAGUUGUUCGCCUUUAAAUGAACUUUUAGUACGAUCUAGAGAGUGAUAUUCUGAGACAAUAUGCGAUUGGUUUUAAUUUUUUAUUAUUUGUAGUUUUUGAGUUAUUUCGUUUUCUAUUCAGCAGCUCUCCAGUUUGCCGUUCCAGCCAUCCGGUUGCUAAGGUCCAAAUUAACCUAGCAACCAUGCAUUGAUUUGAAUAAGAGACUGGAAUAUGUAGACUGAACAGAAGGAUGAAAAUAAAUAGUAACAAUAGCGAUACAUUUGUAGCCUUACAGAGCAUUUGUUUUUUAGAUGGGGGCACUGACCCUCGUUUCGAGAGCUGGAAAGAUUGAGAAGAAAAAGAUAAAUAAUUUCAAAACUAUAAAAAAUAAAUUAUGACAACCAAUUGAAAAGCUGCUUAGAAUUGGCCAUUCUAUAACAUACCUAAUGUUAACUUAAAGGUGAACCACCUCUUAAAGUGACAGCGCCAGUGUCUGCAAUAGGCAAAGUUUUUCCCAUUCCUUAAUUAGCUGCAGGUAGAGGAAGGCAUUUCGGUUUUUCAAUACCUCACGUGUCAUAGGCCUAAGCCAGAACACUGAAUACUAAACCUAUGUAUUGGAGGAUGUGGAAAACUGUGUCAGGAUCCUGGAAAGUAAGUUGGGGUUACAUGUUUUAGCUUCUCGGAGCAGUGUACCCCCUUGUUCAACAUGGGUUCAGUAAAUAGGAACGUAGUUUUUGCCUUUUGUUUUAAUCAUGAAAAUUCUAUGUUUUUUGUUUUUUCUUGAGCAAAACGGAAAUUCAAACUAGCCUAUGGUUGAUCCUUCUUAGGCAGAUAAUUAGAUUCGCCCUCUAUUUGCACUGUUUUGUUAGCAAGGGUCCAUUAUGCAGGGGGGGAUCUCUGCACUGGUUUUCUAACUAUCUGCUUUAUAAGGGCCAACAAACUUCAAUAGACUAACUACAUAUUUGUGGUUUCAAACUUACCUCAAGUGCUCGUUCAGUGUUUGUGGCUGUGUUUCUUUGGUAUAUAAAGUUCCUGUUGACAUUAUGGUAGGCUUCAACAUGUCAAGCAUAUCUUUAAUUACAUGCAUAUCAAAUCUCAUCAGAACUGAAAUGUGUUGUCAGUUCCUUUGUCAAAAUUACUUGAAGUGAUCACUCAAUGUUUGUGGCUGUUGUAUAUAAAGCUCCUGUUGACUUUAUGGUAGGAUUCCACAUGUCAAGGAUUACUUUAAUUACAUUCAUAUCAAAUCUCAUGAACCCAGAAAUGUAUUAUUAGCUCCUUUUGUUUGCUUUUAUUCUGCCUUGUGGAUCUCAGACUCAAGCUAUUUGAUAGAAACAUUGAUAUGUUUUCCUGGUAUGUAAUGUAAAAGAGAUUUUCUGUUAACACUAAGUAGUGUGCCAGAAUUAUAACCAGAGUUUAUCUUCCUAUAUAAAAGCCUGAUUUAUAAUUCUU